CUCAAAGCCCCGACGAGUAGGGUGGCGUGCCGGUGAGCGUUGAAGGCCAAGACGUGAGUCAGGCUGGAGCCGCCGGUAGUGCAGAUCUUGGUGGUAGUAGCAAGUACUCUGGUGAACCAACCUGGAGCUGUGAGGUCUGGAUCAGGGUUCCAUGUCAACAGUGAUUGAACAUGGGUGAGUCGAUCCUAAGCCAACUGUGAAAGCAGUGACAUCCCGACAAAGGGGCUAUUCGCGUGGCGACCACACGCGUCUGUGUGCACAUUCGCAAGUCUCCUCUCUCUGUCUGUCUGGUUGGUCGCGCGCGCAUGCAAACCCGGUGCGCGUGUGUGUGUCUCUCUGGUUACGCUCGAGCGWGUAUGGWUGGAGAGAGAGAAAACGAGACAGUGCCGCGCGUGUGUGUGUGUUCUCUGAAGGCUCCCUGCGUCUGGUUCUAUGUCUGGCGAAAGGGAAUGGGGACUUUGUUCCUUGACCGGUCCCGGCACCCUCGAUAGGCUUUGCCAAUCAAUGGUCCAUGCAAAUGGAACCAGGCCACAGCCGCCGGCAGUCGCCCGAGGAAGAGUUUUCUUUUCUGCUUAACGCACGAGAUCAUCCCUGGAAACAGUUCGGCUGGCGAAAGGGUGCCCCGUUGCGGCAGAGCGCCACGACUGUCGUGCGCGUCUCGGUGUUCCUGCCGGUCCGUGAAGACGUGGUCGAGGGGAUUGCUAUUGUAUCAACGAAACGCCCGACAAGUUCGGGACGGACCGUACCCUAUAUCCGCAUCUGGUCUCCAAGGUUCGUAGCCUCUGCAGAGUCAGACACAUGUAGGUAAGGGAAGUCGGCAAACUCGAUCCGUAACUUCGGGAAAAGGAUUGGCUCUGAGGGCCGAGCUGGGCCGGGCCUUGCCUGCAAAGCAGUACCUAUAGUGACCGGAGUUUCAGGAGUGCGAGGGGCUCUAGUAGCUGCCUGCGCGUUCACGCGUGUGGGCACGAACGAGUCUACCGCUCCGCUCCAACCACGAACGGCUGUGACGGCAAGGGCUCUGGGCGGGAGCGUUCAAACCGUUGGUCCCCAGCUCGUCUGGCUGGCGGCGGUGCUCCGUCUGACCCAUACGGCUCCAGCGGCUAGCGGCUAACUCAGAACUGUCAUGGACCAAGGGAAUCCGACUGUCUAAUUAAAACAAAGCGUCGUGACGGCCC
This 1175-nucleotide ribosomal RNA is filed under the name Niphargus sp. NC702. Its description in RNAcentral is "partial large subunit ribosomal RNA". The record is from RNAcentral. Lineage: Eukaryota; Metazoa; Arthropoda; Malacostraca; Amphipoda; Niphargidae.